Molecule: ribosomal RNA, 45 nt
Filed under: Dactylogyrus intermedius
Lineage: Eukaryota; Metazoa; Platyhelminthes; Monogenea; Dactylogyridea; Dactylogyridae
Description: partial 18S ribosomal RNA
Source: RNAcentral
GUCGUAACAAGGUUUCCGUAGGUCGAACCUGCGGAAGGAUCAUUA